This 402-nucleotide ribosomal RNA is filed under the name bacterium. RNAcentral describes it as "partial 16S ribosomal RNA". It matches the Rfam family "Bacterial small subunit ribosomal RNA", at positions 355 to 776 of the family's 1533-position model. The record is from RNAcentral.
UGGGGAAUUUUGCACAAUGGGGGAAACCCUGAUGCAGCGACGCCGCGUGAUUUAGAAGGCCUUCGGGUUGUAAAAAUCUUUUCUAUGGGAAGAAAAUGACAGUACCAUAGGAAUAAGGACCGGCUAAUUACAUGCCAGCAGCCGCGGUAAUACGUAAGGUCCGAGCGUUGUCCGGAAUCAUUGGGCGUAAAGGGUACGUAGGCGGGUAAGCAAGUUAGAAGUGAAAUCCUAUAGCUCAACUAUAGUAAGCUUUUUAAACUGCUCAUCUUGAGGUAUGGAAGGGAAAGUGGAAUUCCUAGUGUAGCGGUGAAAUGCGCAGAUAUUAGGAGGAAUACCGGUGGCGAAGGCGACUUUCUGGCCAUAACCUGACGCUGAGGUACGAAAGCGUGGGUAGCAAACAGG